CUACUUAACAAAACAGAAAAUGCAAAUAAAGCAACUAACAGACCAAUCUUUGCAACUCAAUACAACAGUAGUACUAAGUAAAUGCAUUGCACAAUGGCCAACACACAAGCCCGCCGUACAUUUAUACAGCUAUUAACACACAUCCGAUCCUUAAACAAUAAAACAAACACUCAAGUACAGUACGUUAUCUCAGUUCACAACCCCCCCCCCCUCUCACGGCUCAACCAUUUUUUACCCCAAGUCUCAAAAAA
This is a non-coding RNA of Paramuricea clavata, 251 nucleotides long. The record is from the annotation of a GenBank genome assembly. Lineage: Eukaryota; Metazoa; Cnidaria; Anthozoa; Malacalcyonacea; Plexauridae.